Long non-coding RNA from Ictalurus furcatus (blue catfish), 3684 nucleotides. RefSeq lists it as uncharacterized. The transcript is spliced from 3 exons. The record is from RefSeq and is a predicted model, not a curated record. Lineage: Eukaryota; Metazoa; Chordata; Actinopteri; Siluriformes; Ictaluridae.
GGCAUGCCACAUGAUAGAAGAGGCUUGGGGGGCCUUUAGUUACAAAAGGUUGAGAACCUCUGAUUUAGAUCAUAGCACUUGGGUUAAGUACUGUUGCUGGGUAUUGGGUAUUGUAUGGAUAUUGCAGGACAUUUUGCCAACGCUCAAUGCUACAGUCCAUUGAUGAUAUUAAGAUCACUGGCAGCUUAAUAGAAAUGCCAAAGACAAAGUAUUAAGAUGUCUGUGUCAAUAACGCUCAGGACAUACCACAGUAGUUCCCAAACUAUACACUGUAAACGAUUUCUCUUGUUUUCACAGUGUUAUUCUACUAUAUUUUCAUCUUUUUUUUUUUUUUUUUUUACUGUAAAAACGUUUACAGCAUGUUGCUUUUACAGUAUUAUUGCUGUAUUUUGUACUCUGGCGUACUGUAAAUUGUUUUUACAGUGACUUACUGUAAUUUAUUUUCUUCAAAAAAGAGUGUGAAAAUAAUUACAGUAAUAUUUUCAGUAAUAAUUACAGCAAUAUAUAGUAAUAAUUUGAACACAUGUAAUAUUGUGUAACGGGUAUGGAAAGUAUUCUAUACAUAUAAUAUACAGAAUUACACAAAAAAUGUAUACAUGAAGUGACUGUCUGUAUGUGUGCAUCUUCCCCUUUAAUUUUCUGACUGCAGCGUGUAAUGUUAACUUCCUGUCUUUGCACCACCUCUUCCCUUUCCGCACUGUGUUUACAUGGGAGAGGUAGGAUUUUAAUAAGCUCUGAUAAAUCCAAUUUCAUCUUUGCCCUAAAAAUCACUUUUAAAAUUAGCGUUCUUUUUCUAAAUCAUAUUUAUGACAUUAUUUGCCAUAUAUGAUUUAUUUCAUGUUUUCACUUUAAUUAAGGUUAUGAUUAGUUUUAUGCGUCAUCCAUGAACUUGAAAUUUAUUUUACAGAAAUGUUAAGGGCAAAAGCACACUGUAUGAGACUGUGUAAUCUCUUUGUCAGGCACUGCAGCCUUGGGGGCCAGGCCAGCAUCGCGGUCUGUAAUCUAAAUCCAUUGGACAAGAAAGGGUCAUGGGGAACCUGGAGCCUAUCCCAGGGAGCAUCGGGCACAAGGCGGGGUACACCCUGGACAGGGUGCCAAUCCAUCACAGGCCACACAAUCACACACACAUACACACACACACACCCAUUCAUACUCUAUGGACAUUUUAGACAUGCCAAUCAACCUACCAUGCAUGUCUUUGGACUGGGGGAGGAAACCCCCGCAGCAUGGGGAGAACAUGCAAACUCCACACACACACGGGAAUCGAGCCCCGAACCUGGCGGUGUGAGGCGAACGUGCUAAGCCACCGUGCACCCCAUUUAAUAGUCAUUGUAAUUUUAAAUAUAAUUGGUUACUUCGUAACGUGUACCUCAGAAAACAAUUUAGCUAGAUAGCAUUCGUUUAUACUACGGGCUUUCCAGUUAGUAUUAUAGUGAACUGUUUCUAGGUUUGAAUCAAAUUACAUUUUUUUUUCGAAAUCUUUUUGUGUAUUUACACUAGUUGACAACUUUCACCAAAUGAAUAAGGGACAUUCAUUCACAGGAACUGGUGUGUGCGUGCGUGCGUGCGUGCGUGUGUGUGUGUGUGUGUGUGUGUGUGUUUGUGUGCGCAUGUGUCAUAUCACAGCAAACCAGUGACUCCAUUUCCCAGGAGUUCACCUUUUCCGGAGUGCUAAUCAUACACACCUGUUACCAAUCUCACACACACUCACUCCACAGUACAUAGAGACUGUUUCAACACAGUGACUUGAAUACUUGAAUACUUCACCUCCUCUAUGGAUGCAGCAGGAGAGCGAGGAGAGCAUCACGCCAGUGUACAUAGGAAUGUCUGGCCACCAUUCAUGUCAGUCCGGUUUCCCCUUGUUUUUUAUUUUUAAUGAAUUUACAAAUAUUUCAACCAAACUUCUUUCACGUUGUCAUUAUGGGGUAUUGUUUGUAGAAUUUUGAGGAAAAUAAUUAAUUUAAUCCAUUUUGGAAUAAGGCUGUAGCAUAACAAAAUGUGGAAAAAGUGAAGCACUGUGAAUACUUUCCGGAUGCACUGUAUAUCUGCUAUCAUCGCUACAGUCUAAAAACCACCUAAGGCUAAGACGCAUGCAGCUUUUUUAUCAGAAUUUGCUGACUUCCUGUUAAUGUUGAGAAUGAAGUUUGACAGAAUUCUAAUUGUGGGAGAUUUUAACAUUCAUGUGGACCGGAGUGAUUCUGUGGUGGUUAAGGAAUUUCUGUCGCUACUUGAUUGUUUUAACUUCACACAGUUUGUAACUGACCCGACUCAUAACAAGGGCCACACCCUGGAUCUCGUGAUUGCAAACGGCUCGUUUGUAUCGCAGUUUUCAUCUGUUGACGUUUGGACCGUCAGGCCAUUCAGCUGUCUUCUUUAACCUGGAACUGUAUCAUCCAUGUGAGCCUACCAUCCGAACAGUAACCUUCCGGAAGUGGAAGUCUAUUGAUCAGACAGUUUUCUCCAAUUCGGUUGUUUCCACCUUAAGCGAUCUUCAUCCCUCAUCGCUGGAGGAGAAAGUCCUGCAUUUAAAUUCUGCUAUUGCUGCUAAUCUUGACUUGUUUGCUCCCCUAAGGUCCUGUAAGGUUACAUUCGCCCACUCUGUUCCCGGGUAUACUGACAAUCUGCGCUCUAGAAAUGGAGCGUAAAUGGCGCCUUACUGGCUUGAAUGUCUACUAUCAAGCGUGGAAGGAUCUUCUGGUUGAUUACAGAGCAUUAAUCCCAGACACUUGUUCCAAACCAUGAACAGACUGCUUCAAGUUAAUGUUGUUACCACUUUGCCUGUUUCUCAUGUAUGUUUUCUCUAUGUAAUUUUUUUUCUUCAGUUUUUUAAUUCUAAAAUUGAUAAUGUUAGCACAGAAAUUUCUGUUACACCUGAUGACACUUCACUCCUUCGUGCAUCUGGGUUCAAUGGCGUUUCUUUCACUCAUUUCUCACUGCUUGAUUCUGAGGCUCUCACAAGGGAGGUACCAGCAUGAAAUCAACCAUUUGCUUGCUUGAUCCAAUUCCCACAAACCUAUUUAAAUCAUGCUUCGAUGUUUGGUGCCCUGCUAUCCUCGGCAUUAUAAAUGAAUCAUUGGAGACUGGGGUCGUUCCAGCAGUACUAAAGACUGCUGCUGUUGCACCUGUACCAAAGAAGGAAAAUGUUGCCGUGGAUGAUUUUAACAAUUUUCGUCCCAUCUCAAAUCUUCCAUUAUUCGCAAAAAUACUAGAGCGUGUUGUUGCCUCUCAAUUGUGUAAUCAUCUUACAAUUAAUAACCUCUUUGAACCCCUUCAGUCAGGUUUUCAUAAAUCUCACAGCACUGAAACGGCAUUGGUCAGAGUUACCAAUGACUUGUUGAUGGCCUCUGAUUCUGGAGCUACAUCCAUUCUCAUUCUUCUUGAUAGAGAAGAGCUGCUUAGAGCUGCUUUCAAUACUGUGGAUCAUGGUCUUUUACUUACCUGCCUUGAACGUGUUUUUGGUGUUUCAGGGACAGUUUUAAACUGGUUUAAAUCCUAUUUUACUGACUGUUCCCAGUUUAUUUCUAUGGGUGGCUACAGGUCUGACACUAGCUCUGUGCUCACUGGUGUUCCUCAGGGAUCGGUUUUAGGCCCUUUACUUUUCAAUAUUUGUCUAUCUCCACUUGGGCAUCUGCUGUGAUUGCUUGGCCUCCAUUAUCACUUUUAUGCAGACGAUUCCCAAAUCUA